GACAGAGGCCUCGAGCGUUAGGCGGAAUCACUGGGCUUAAAGCGUGUGUAGGCGGGCCCGUAAGUGUCUUGUGAAAUCCCACGGCUCAACCGUGGAACUGCUGGGCAUACUGCGGGUCUUGGGCCAACUAGGGGCAGCCGGAACAAGCGGUGGAACGGUGAAAUGCGUAGAUAUCGCUUGGAACGCCGAAGGUGAAAACAGGCUGCUGGGGUUGCGCCGACGCUGAGACACGAAAGCCAGGGGAGCAAACGGG
RNAcentral lists this ribosomal RNA (253 nucleotides) under uncultured bacterium. Its description in RNAcentral is "partial 16S ribosomal RNA". It matches the Rfam family "Bacterial small subunit ribosomal RNA", at positions 524 to 776 of the family's 1533-position model. The record is from RNAcentral.